Molecule: ribosomal RNA, 580 nt
Filed under: uncultured bacterium
Lineage: Bacteria
Description: partial 16S ribosomal RNA
Rfam family: Bacterial small subunit ribosomal RNA
Source: RNAcentral
UGGGGAAUUUUGGACAAUGGGCGAAAGCCUGAUCCAGCAAUGCCGCGUGUGUGAAGAAGGCCUUCGGGUUGUAAAGCACUUUUGUCCGGAAAGAAAUCCUUGGCUCUAAUACAGUCGGGGGAUGACGGUACCGGAAGAAUAAGCACCGGCUAACUACGUGCCAGCAGCCGCGGUAAUACGUAGGGUGCAAGCGUUAAUCGGAAUUACUGGGCGUAAAGCGUGCGCAGGCGGUUUGCUAAGACCGAUGUGAAAUCCCCGGGCUCAACCUGGGAACUGCAUUGGUGACUGGCAGGCUAGAGUAUGGCAGAGGGGGGUAGAAUUCCACGUGUAGCAGUGAAAUGCGUAGAGAUGUGGAGGAAUACCGAUGGCGAAGGCAGCCCCCUGGGCCAAUACUGACGCUCAUGCACGAAAGCGUGGGGGAGCAAAACAGGAUUAGAUACCCUGGUAGUCCACGCCCUAAACGAUGUCAACUAGUUGUUGGGGAUUCAUUUCCUUAGUAACGUAGCUAACGCGUGAAGUUGACCGCCUGGGGAGUACGGUCGCAAGAUUAAAACUUAAAGGAAUUGACGGGGUCAUAGCU